GAUGAACGCUGGCGGCGUGCCUAAUACAUGCAAGUCGAGCGAACAGAUAAGGUGCUUGCUCCUUUGACGUUAGCGGCGGACGGGUGGGUAACACGUGGAUAACCUACCUAUAAGACUGGGAUAACUUCGGGAAACCGGAGCUAAUACCGGAUAACAUAUUGAACCGCAUGGUUCAAUAGUGAAAGGCGGCUUUGCUGUCACUUAUAGAUGGAUCCGCGCCGUAUUAGCUAGUUGGUAAGGUAACGGCUUACCAAGGCAACGAUCCGUAGCCGACCUGAGAGGGUGAUCGGCCACACUGGAACUGAGACACGGUCCAGACUCCUACGGGAGGCAGCAGUAGGGAAUCUUCCGCAAUGGGCGAAAGCCUGACGGAGCAACGCCGCGUGAGUGAUGAAGGUCUUCGGAUCGUAAAACUCUGUUAUCAGGGAAGAACAAAUGUGUAAGUAACUGUGCACAUCUUGACGGUACCUGAUCAGAAAGCCACGGCUAACUACGUG
RNAcentral lists this ribosomal RNA (497 nucleotides) under uncultured bacterium. Its description in RNAcentral is "partial 16S ribosomal RNA". It matches the Rfam family "Bacterial small subunit ribosomal RNA", at positions 28 to 507 of the family's 1533-position model. The record is from RNAcentral.